GAUGAACGCUGGCGGCGUGCCUAAUACAUGCAAGUCGAGCGAACAGACGAGGAGCUUGCUCCUUUGACGUUAGCGGCGGACGGGUGAGUAACACGUAGGUAACCUACCUAUAAGACUGGGAUAACUUCGGGAAACCGGAGCUAAUACCGGAUAAUAUUUCGAACCGCAUGGUUCGAUAGUGAAAGAUGGCUUUGCUAUCACUUAUAGAUGGACCUGCGCCGUAUUAGCUAGUUGGUAAGGUAACGGCUUACCAAGGCAACGAUACGUAGCCGACCUGAGAGGGUGAUCGGCCACACUGGUACUGAGACACGGUCCAGACUCCUACGGGAGGCAGCAGUAGGGAAUCUUCCGCAAUGGGCGAAAGCCUGACGGAGCAACGCCGCGUGAGUGAUGAAGGUCUUCGGAUCGUAAAACUCUGUUAUUAGGGAAGAACAAACGUGUAAGUAACUGUGCACGUCUUGACGGUACCUAAUCAGAAAGCCACGGCUAACUACGUG
Molecule: ribosomal RNA, 497 nt
Filed under: uncultured bacterium
Lineage: Bacteria
Description: partial 16S ribosomal RNA
Rfam family: Bacterial small subunit ribosomal RNA
Source: RNAcentral